This 672-nucleotide ribosomal RNA is filed under the name Agrobacterium tumefaciens. Its description in RNAcentral is "bacterial SSU rRNA". It matches the Rfam family "Bacterial small subunit ribosomal RNA", at positions 62 to 783 of the family's 1533-position model. Lineage: Bacteria; Pseudomonadati; Pseudomonadota; Alphaproteobacteria; Hyphomicrobiales; Rhizobiaceae. The record is from RNAcentral.
UCGACGCCCCGCAGGGGGAGUGGCAGACGGGUGAGUAACGCGUGGGAACAUACCCUUUCCUGCGGAAUAGCUCCGGGAAACUGGAAUUAAUACCGCAUACGCCCUACGGGGGAAAGAUUUAUCGGGGAAGGAUUGGCCCGCGUUGGAUUAGCUAGUUGGUGGGGUAAAGGCCUACCAAGGCGACGAUCCAUAGCUGGUCUGAGAGGAUGAUCAGCCACAUUGGGACUGAGACACGGCCCAAACUCCUACGGGAGGCAGCAGUGGGGAAUAUUGGACAAUGGGCGCAAGCCUGAUCCAGCCAUGCCGCGUGAGUGAUGAAGGCCUUAGGGUUGUAAAGCUCUUUCACCGGAGAAGAUAAUGACGGUAUCCGGAGAAGAAGCCCCGGCUAACUUCGUGCCAGCAGCCGCGGUAAUACGAAGGGGGCUAGCGUUGUUCGGAAUUACUGGGCGUAAAGCGCACGUAGGCGGAUAUUUAAGUCAGGGGUGAAAUCCCAGAGCUCAACUCUGGAACUGCCUUUGAUACUGGGUAUCUUGAGUAUGGAAGAGGUAAGUGGAAUUCCGAGUGUAGAGGUGAAAUUCGUAGAUAUUCGGAGGAACACCAGUGGCGAAGGCGGAUUACUGGUCCAUUACUGACGCUGAAGUGCGAUAGCGUGGGGAGCAAACAGGAUUAGAU